AGCAGCCGCGGUAAUUCCAGCUCCAAUAGCGUAUAUUAAAGUUGUUGCAGUUAAAAAAGCUCGUAGUUGAAUUUCGGGAUCAAUACGUCUGUCGUGCCUUUGGUACGUACGGGUGUAAUUGGUUUCUGCCUUCUGAGGAUCCUUGAUGUCAUUAAUUUGGUGUCUUGGGGAAUCAGGACUGUUACCUUGAAAAAUUAGAGUGUUUAAAGCAGGCAUACGCUUGAAUACAUUAGCAUGGAAUAAUGAAAUAGGACGUUCGAUUCUAUUUUGUUGGUUUCUAGGAUCGACGUAAUGAUUAAUAGGGAUAGUUGGGGGCAUUAGUAUUCAAUUGUCAGAGGUGAAAUUCUUGGAUUUAUUGAAGACUAACUACUGCGAAAGCAUUUGCCAAGGAUGUUUUCAUUAAUCAAGAACGAAAGUUAGGGGAUCGAAGACGAUCAGAUACCGUCGUAGUCUUAACCAUAAACUAUGCCGGACUAGGGAUCGGGAUGAUUGUUAAUUUUUUAAUGUACUCAUUCGGGCG
Molecule: ribosomal RNA, 520 nt
Filed under: uncultured Glomus
Lineage: Eukaryota; Fungi; Glomeromycota; Glomeromycetes; Glomerales; Glomeraceae
Description: SSU rRNA
Rfam family: Eukaryotic small subunit ribosomal RNA
Source: RNAcentral